UCCCUGGUAGCUCAGGGUAAAGAAUAUAUGCCUGCAAUGCAGGAGACCCAGCUUUGAUUCCUGGCUUGGGAA
RNAcentral lists this transfer RNA (72 nucleotides) under Ovis aries (sheep). It matches the Rfam family "tRNA". From Rfam's summary of the family: Transfer RNA (tRNA) molecules are approximately 80 nucleotides in length. The record is from Rfam by way of RNAcentral. Lineage: Eukaryota; Metazoa; Chordata; Mammalia; Artiodactyla; Bovidae.